Molecule: ribosomal RNA, 431 nt
Filed under: uncultured Pseudomonadota bacterium
Lineage: Bacteria; Pseudomonadati; Pseudomonadota
Description: bacterial SSU rRNA
Rfam family: Bacterial small subunit ribosomal RNA
Source: RNAcentral
AGCGAACAUUGGCGGCAGGCCUAACACAUGCAAGUCGAACGCGUUCUUCGGAACGAGUGGCGAACGGGUGAGUAUAACUUGGGAAUCUACCAUAGUCUGGGGGAUAACUGUUGGAAACAGCAGCUAAUACCGCAUAAUCCUUACGAGGGAAAGCUCCGGCGGACAAUGAUGAGCCCAAGCCUGAUUAGCUUGUUGGUGAGGUAAAAGCUCACCAAGGCAACGAUCAGUAGCUGGUUUGAGAGGAUGAUCAGCCACACUGGGACUGAGACACGGCCCAGACUCCUACGGGAGGCAGCAGUGGGGAAUAUUGCGCAAUGGGGGCAACCCUGACGCAGCCAUGCCGCGUGCACGAUGAAGGCCCUAGGGUUGUAAAGUGCUUUCGAGUGGGAAGAUAAUGACGGUACCACUAAAAGAAGUCCCGGCUAACUCCG